AGUGAACGCUGGCGGUAGGCCUAACACAUGCAAGUCGAACGGCAGCACAGUAAGAGCUUGCUCUUACGGGUGGCGAGUGGCGGACGGGUUAGGAAUACAUCGGAAUCUACUUUUUCGUGGGGGAUAACGUAGGGAAACUUACGCUAAUACCGCAUACGACCUACGGGUGAAAGCAGGGGAUCUUCGGACCUUGCGCGAUUGAAUGAGCCGAUGUCGGAUUAGCUAGUUGGCGGGGUAAAGGCCCACCAAGGCGACGAUCCGUAGCUGGUCUGAGAGGAUGAUCAGCCACACUGGAACUGAGACACGGUCCAGACUCCUACGGGAGGCAGCAGUGGGGAAUAUUGGACAAAGGGCGCAAGCCUGAUCCAGCCAUACCGCGUGGGUGAAGAAGGCCUUCGGGUUGUAAAGCCCUUUUGUUGGGAAAGAAAAGCAGCAGGUUAAUACCCCGCUGUUCUGACGGUACCCAAAGAAUAAGCACCGGCUAACUUCGUG
RNAcentral lists this ribosomal RNA (492 nucleotides) under uncultured bacterium. RNAcentral's name for it is "partial 16S ribosomal RNA". It matches the Rfam family "Bacterial small subunit ribosomal RNA", at positions 29 to 507 of the family's 1533-position model. The record is from RNAcentral.